RNAcentral lists this ribosomal RNA (593 nucleotides) under uncultured bacterium. RNAcentral's name for it is "bacterial SSU rRNA". It matches the Rfam family "Bacterial small subunit ribosomal RNA", at positions 338 to 950 of the family's 1533-position model. The record is from RNAcentral.
CCUACGGGAGGCAGCAGUGGGGAAUCUUGCGCAAUGGGCGAAAGCCUGACGCAGCAACGCCGCGUGCGGGAAGAAGGCUUUCGGGCUGUAAACCGCUUUCAGCAGGAACGAAAAUGACGGUACCUGCAGAAGAAGGAGCGGCCAACUAUGUGCCAGCAGCCGCGGUGAUACAUAGGCUUCAAGCGUUGUCCGGAUUUAUUGGGCGUAAAGAGUUCGUAGGCGGUCGAGUAAGUCGGGUGUGAAAAUUCUGGGCUCAACCCAGAGACGCCACCCGAUACUGCUUGACUUGAGUUCGAUAGGGGAGUGGGGAAUUCCUAGUGUAGCGGUGAAAUGCGCAGAUAUUAGGAGGAACACCGGUGGCGAAGGCGCCACUCUGGAUCGAUACUGACGCUGAGGAACGAAAGCAUGGGUAGCAAACAGGAUUAGAUACCCUGGUAGUCCAUGCCGUAAACGGUGGGCACUAGGUGUGGGUUUCUAUUAACGAAAUCCGCGCCGUCGCUAACGCAUUAAGUGCCCCGCCUGGAGUACGUCGCAGACUAAACUACAAGAAGUAGACGCGUGAGACGUGCCGACGACGACGACGAGGGAGUAGG